AGAGUUUGAUCCUGGCUCAGGAUGAACGCUAGCGGCAGGCCUUAUACAUGCAAGUCGAGGGGCAGCAUAGAUUGCUUGCAAUCUGAUGGCGACCGGCGAACGGGUGCGUAACGCGUAUGCAACUUACCUUUUACUAGGAGAUAGCCAAGAGAAAUUUUGAUUAAUAUCCUAUACAAUUAUUUUAUCGCAUGAUAAAAUAAUAAAAGCUCAGGCGGUAAAAGAUAGGCAUGCGUCCUAUUAGCAAGUAGGUGAGGUAACGGCUCACCUAUGCUACGAUAGGUAGGGGUCCUGAGAGGGAGAUCCCCCACACUGGUACUGAGACACGGACCAGACUUCUACGGAAGGCAGCAGUAAGGAAUAUUGGACAAUGGAGGCAACUCUGAUCCAGCUAUGCCGCGUGCAGGAAGACGGCCCUAUGGGUUGUAAACUGCUUUUAUACAGGAAGAAACCUGCUCACUUGUGAGCAGCUGACGGUACUGUAAGAAUAAGGAUCGGCUAACUCCGUGCCAGCAGCCGCGGUAAUACGGAGGAUCCAAGCGUUAUCCGGAAUUAUUGGGUUUAAAGGGUCCGCAGGCUGUUUGUUAAGUCAGAGGUGAAAUCCUACCGCUCAACGGUAGAACUGCCUUAGAUACUGACAAACUUGAGUUAUUGUGAAGUAAUUAGAAUGUGUAGUGUAGCGGUGAAAUGCAUAGAUAUUACACAGAAUACCGAUUGCGAAAGCAGAUUACUAACAAUAUACUGACGCUGAGGGACGAAAGCGUAGGUAGCGAACAGGAUUAGAUACCCUGGUAGUCUACGCCGUAAACGAUGGUCACUAGCUGUUCGAUAUACAUUGGUAUGUUGAGUGGCUAAGCGAAAGUGAUAAGUGACCCACCUGGGGAGUACGUUCGCAAGAAUGAAACUCAAAGGAAUUGACGGGGGUUUGUUUCCUUGUCGGGUGUUUGUUUCCUUGCCGGGUGUUUGUUUCCUUGUCGGGUGUUUGUUUCCUUGUCGGGUGCUUGCUUCCUUGUCGGGUGCUUGCUUCUUUGUCGGGGAGUAGGGGGAGUACUGGUUAUAAUUGCGGAACUUUUGCAUGGAACAUCCUUUUUACAGGAGAAACAUAUUUUGCCAAAUCUCAUUACGGAUU
Molecule: ribosomal RNA, 1126 nt
Filed under: marine metagenome
Description: bacterial SSU rRNA
Rfam family: Bacterial small subunit ribosomal RNA (bases 1-952)
Source: RNAcentral